This is a non-coding RNA of Sarcophilus harrisii (Tasmanian devil), 365 nucleotides long. NCBI's taxonomy places the organism in Eukaryota, Metazoa, Chordata, Mammalia, Dasyuromorphia, Dasyuridae. The record is from Rfam.
AAUAUGUAAAAAUGGAAGCACUCAGACUUAAGAAUCCGGGAAACUUCACCUGGCAUAGCUCUUUCUCGAUUCUGUUGGGGGUGGUGCAUGGCCGUUCUUAGUUGGAGUGAUUUGUCUGGUUAAUUCCGAUAACGAACAAGACUCUGGCAUGCUAACUAGUUACGCAACCCCCGAGUGGACUUCCAGAAAGCUAGCCAAACUCUAGAACCAGAACCCCUUGUAGUCCUCAACCUGAGCUCCACAAGCCAGAGAGCACUGCUGAAGAUAACAGUUAAUCCAGAUGGACAGAAGGUGGAACUUCUUAAGAAGAUAGCCUUGCAACUGGGCUCACAAAGAGAAGAUCAAGAAGCAGUCAAGCCAGCUUC